Molecule: non-coding RNA, 109 nt
Filed under: Polynucleobacter asymbioticus QLW-P1DMWA-1
Lineage: Bacteria; Pseudomonadati; Pseudomonadota; Betaproteobacteria; Burkholderiales; Burkholderiaceae
Also listed under: 1 other name
Description: Polynucleobacter necessarius subsp. asymbioticus QLW-P1DMWA-1 TPP riboswitch aptamer (THI element)
Rfam family: TPP riboswitch aptamer (THI element)
About the family: Vitamin B(1) in its active form thiamin pyrophosphate (TPP) is an essential coenzyme that is synthesised by coupling of pyrimidine and thiazole moieties in bacteria. The previously detected thiamin-regulatory element, thi box was extended, resulting in a new, highly conserved RNA secondary structure, the THI element, which is widely distributed in eubacteria and also occurs in some archaea.
Source: Rfam by way of RNAcentral
AGGAUGAAACAGGGGUGCCCUUAACAACAGAGUUUGUUGUAAGGCGCUGAGAAAGACCCUCUAACCCGAUCCAGGUAAUGCUGGCGUGGGGAGUUACAUCAGACCGACA